AGUCUCAUGGUCUAGUUGGUUAUGACGUGUCGUUCACAUUCAAGGAUGCCGACAAGGUCUCGAGUUCGAACCUCGAUGAGACUA
Molecule: non-coding RNA, 84 nt
Organism: Xylariaceae sp. FL0804
Lineage: Eukaryota; Fungi; Ascomycota; Sordariomycetes; Xylariales; Xylariaceae
Source: the annotation of a GenBank genome assembly